Molecule: ribosomal RNA, 233 nt
Filed under: uncultured bacterium
Lineage: Bacteria
Description: partial 16S ribosomal RNA
Rfam family: Bacterial small subunit ribosomal RNA
Source: RNAcentral
AACGUAGGAGACAAACGUUAUCCGGAGUUACUGGGCGUAAAGGGCGUGUAGGUGGUUUCGUAAGUCUGGCGUGAAAUUUUUCGGCUUAACCGGGAAAGGUCGUCGGAUACUGCGGAGCUAGAGGACGGUAGAGGCGUGUGGAAUUCCGGGUGUAGUGGUGAAAUGCGUAGAGAUCCGGAGGAACACCAGUGGCGAAGGCGACACGCUGGGCCGUACCUGACACUGAUGCGCGA